CGGCCACGUCGUUCGGGUUGGUGCCGGCGCAGCUGCCACCUCCGCCUCCCGUGACGGUGAGCGUGUAGGUGGCGGUGCGGUUCGCCGUGCCCGCC
RNAcentral lists this transfer RNA (95 nucleotides) under Lentzea sp. NBRC 102530. RNAcentral describes it as "tRNA-Gly". The record is from RNAcentral. Lineage: Bacteria; Bacillati; Actinomycetota; Actinomycetes; Pseudonocardiales; Pseudonocardiaceae.